RNAcentral lists this long non-coding RNA (851 nucleotides) under Homo sapiens (human). RNAcentral's name for it is "non-protein coding lnc-MIER2-1:1". Lineage: Eukaryota; Metazoa; Chordata; Mammalia; Primates; Hominidae. The record is from RNAcentral.
GCGAGCAGUGGAGCUGCGGUUGGUCCAGGCCUUCGUGGUGCCAAAGUCCUCCCUCAGAGACCCCUCGAGGGAAAGGAGAGGCGGGUGGGCAGGGUGAGUGCAGACAAAAGGCGCUUGAGCAAGACCCACGCUUCUCUGGGCUCCCAAACGCAUCGGGGCGGGAAAGCAGCUCCAACUUCAACGUGGAAUUCUCCCAAAGCCGGCUGUCCAUCAGCCAGAAGCUCCCCAGCACCACCAUGACCAAAGCAAGGAAGAGGAGGAGGCGGAGGAGGCUCAUGGAGCUGGCAGAGCCCAAGAUAAACUGGCAAGUCCUGAAAGACAGGUGUCCCAGGUAUCCAGGGCAGCCCAAAUGGCAGUCCCCAGCUCGCGGAUCCUCCAGUUGUCAAAGCCGAAGGCCCCAGCCACCCUCUUGGAAGAGUGGGACCCCGUGCCAAAACCCAAGCCACAUGUGUCAGACCAUAACCGCCUCCUUCACUUGGCCAGGCCCAAAGCUCAGUCGGACAAGUGCGUUCCUGACCGAGAUCCUCGCUGGGAGGUGCUGGAUGUCACCAAGAAGGUGGUGGCCAGCCCCCGGAUCAUCUCCCUGGCCAAGCCCAAAGUGCGCAAGGGCCUCAACGAGGGAUACGACAGGCGUCCCCUCGCCUCUAUGAGCUUGCCACCCCCAAAAGCAUCACCAGAAAAGUGUGAUCAACCCAGGCCUGGCCUCUAAGACCUCCGCUCCCAGUAAACACCCUCAGGCACCCUAACCCUGUGUAUGUGAUUAUUCUGAGCUUUUUGGCCUGGAGAAGGGAGGGCGGGCUAGAAGGCCAAAAGAAGGAUGAGGAGGACAAUAAUAUUUAUUUUUGCAUCCA